Molecule: long non-coding RNA, 440 nt
Organism: Nyctereutes procyonoides (raccoon dog)
Lineage: Eukaryota; Metazoa; Chordata; Mammalia; Carnivora; Canidae
Exons: 3
Source: RefSeq, a predicted model, not a curated record
UUAAAAAUCUCAUGUCUUUGUAGACACCACUGUGGAGCCUGCCUCCUCCCAAGUAUGUAAGGAGAAGUGUGAUUUAAUUAUCAAGCCAGAGAAAAAGAAGGAACCUCAUGAAUGGUGGCAAUUUUCAUCUUUUAGGAGUGCUUUUUAGCCAGUCAUGGAGUCUUGAAGAUUGACCUGACAUCAUGACUCUUAAAUCCAUCUCCUUUCCUCCACCCUUGUCUUUAGUCUAUGAACCCAUGAAUUCUUCAUGUGGCAGGCAGAGUGAUCUCUCUAAAGGCCUGUGUAUCUGGUGAAUGCGCAUCUUCCAUCAAGACUCAGAUCAACUGGAUGCCUGCCUUCAGAUCCCAUGAUCCUGGGAUCAAGCCCUGCAUUGGGCUCCUUCGUAGGGGAGCCUGCUUCUCCCUCUGCCUAUGUCUCUGCCUCUCUUUCUAUGUCUUUCA